AGAGUUUGAUCCUGGCUCAGGAUGAACGCUGGCGGUCUGCUUAACACAUGCAAGUCGAACGCAACCUUCGGGUUGAGUGGCGGACGGGUGAGUAACGCGUGAGAAUCUGCCUUGGGGUCGGGGACAACCACUGGAAACGGUGGCUAAUACCGGAUAAGCCAAUUGGUAAAAGAUUUAUUGCCCGAAGAGGAGCUCGCGUCUGAUUAGCUAGUUGGUGAGGUAAGAGCUCACCAAGGCAGCGAUCAGUAGCUGGUCUGAGAGGACGAUCAGCCACACUGGGACUGAGACACGGCCCAGACUCCUACGGGAGGCAGCAGUGGGGAAUUUUCCGCAAUGGGCGAAAGCCUGACGGAGCAAGACCGCGUGAGGGAGGAAGGCUCUUGGGUUGUAAACCUCUUUUCUCAGGGAAGAAGCUCUGACGGUACCUGAGGAAUAAGCCUCGGCUAACUCCGUGCCAGCAGCCGCGGUAAUACGGAGGAGGCAAGCGUUAUCCGGAAUUAUUGGGCGUAAAGCGUCCGCAGGUGGCGAUUCAAGUCUGCUGUCAAAGCACGGGGCUUAACUCCGUUAAGGCAGUGGAAACUGAAUAGCUAGAGUGCCGUAGGGGUAGAGGGAAUUCCCGGUGUAGCGGUGAAAUGCGUA
RNAcentral lists this ribosomal RNA (639 nucleotides) under uncultured bacterium. RNAcentral describes it as "bacterial SSU rRNA". It matches the Rfam family "Bacterial small subunit ribosomal RNA", at positions 8 to 692 of the family's 1533-position model. The record is from RNAcentral.